GGAGGAUGCGAGCGUUAUCCGGAUUUAUUGGGUUUAAAGGGAGCGCAGACGGGAGAUUAAGUCAGUUGUGAAAGUUUGCGGCUCAACCGUAAAAUUGCAGUUGAUACUGUCAGUCUUGAGUACAGUAGAGGUGGGCGGAAUUCGUGGUGUAGCGGUGAAAUGCUUAGAUAUCACGAAGAACUCCGAUUGCGAAGGCAGCUCACUGGACUGCAACUGACACUGAUGCUCGAAAGUGUGGGUAUCAAACAGGAUUAGAUACCCUGGUAGUCCACACAGUAAACGAUGAAUACUCGCUGUUUGCGAUAUACAAUAAGCGGCCAAGCGAAAGCAUUAAGUAUCCCACCUGGGGAGU
RNAcentral lists this ribosomal RNA (352 nucleotides) under uncultured bacterium. RNAcentral describes it as "bacterial SSU rRNA". It matches the Rfam family "Bacterial small subunit ribosomal RNA", at positions 527 to 881 of the family's 1533-position model. The record is from RNAcentral.